This 73-nucleotide transfer RNA is filed under the name Ohtaekwangia koreensis. RNAcentral's name for it is "Bacteroidetes bacterium 3B-2 tRNA". It matches the Rfam family "tRNA". From Rfam's summary of the family: Transfer RNA (tRNA) molecules are approximately 80 nucleotides in length. Their secondary structure includes four short double-helical elements and three loops (D, anti-codon, and T loops). The record is from Rfam by way of RNAcentral. Lineage: Bacteria; Pseudomonadati; Bacteroidota; Cytophagia; Cytophagales; Fulvivirgaceae.
GGAUAUAUAGCUCAGUUGGUAGAGCAAGGCGCUGUUAACGCCUGGGUCGGUGGAUCAUGCCCAUCUAUAUCCG